CCAGAAAACAGACCAGUCAAGAGGAUAAACAACUCAGUAAGCUGAAAGGGAGAGUGGCAAGGAAGGACCUAAGGCAGAGGAGGACAGAAAACACUACUGGGGUUUAAAGAAGAGCAAAUCUGAGAUGUGAAUCCACAAGGCUCUGUGAAUGUGGAAUCCAGCAAAUCCAUCUGAAAAAGCCAUUCUUGAAGUUGCUGCUCUUAGACUUCAGCCUUCAUUUACCCAAGGCAAGACUAAAAUCAGCUGAUUCCCCAGAGUUCAGAAGACAAACAGCAUCUUGGGAGCGAGAGAAUAAACAGCUCUGGGAAUGCUGAAUAAUUGAAACAAGUUACAUCUGCACUGAUUUCUCCCUACCCCUCCUUUUUUUCCCUUCCGAAUUCUCUGCUGUUGUAAAGAUUCUCUCCCUCCCUACCUUCCCAGUUAAAAACUGCAUAUCUUAGACAGAGAAAUAAAUCCAGGCAAUAGUAGAAUAUACAAUUCAGAGACAUCUUUAUGUUAGCUGAUGAAAAUCAUGAAAAUAACUUGUACUAAUGUAGAUUAUUUGGAUUUCACUUGUAUUCAUUUUUGGUCACAUGAAUAACAGAUGGGGUGGCUGAAAAUCAGCAGACUAUUAUUACAUCAUAUCAGCUCCAUCUAGCAUAGCAGGCUAUACUAUUAAGAAGUCAAGUCAGCCUCCCUUCACCACUGAAAAAGCCUUCACUGCUGUUUCAGAGAGGAUCUCCUUAUGGGAGAAGUCCUACAAAAUGUAUUAGGGAUGAGGCCUAUAGUUUAAAAAC
This is a long non-coding RNA of Dermochelys coriacea (leatherback sea turtle), 776 nucleotides long. RefSeq lists it as uncharacterized. The record is from RefSeq and is a predicted model, not a curated record. Lineage: Eukaryota; Metazoa; Chordata; Testudines; Dermochelyidae. The transcript has 3 exons.